This 227-nucleotide unclassified non-coding RNA is filed under the name plant metagenome. Its description in RNAcentral is "partial contains small subunit ribosomal RNA, internal transcribed spacer 1, and 5.8S ribosomal RNA". The stretch from base 1 to 53 matches the Rfam family "Eukaryotic small subunit ribosomal RNA", at positions 1779 to 1831 of the family's 1831-position model. The record is from RNAcentral.
GGAAUAAAAGUCGUAACAAGGUUUCCGUAGGUGAACCUGCGGAAGGAUCAUUCAUAAUAAGUGUUCUACUGCACUUUUUAAAAAUAGUACUCACCUUGUGUGCAAUGUUGUGUUUCUUUUCGGAGAAACACCUACACCAACCUAUAACCUUGAACCACUUUGUCUGAAAAACUAUUAUGAAUACUUAAUUCAAAAUACAACUUUCAACAACGGAUCUCUUGGCUCUC